This 305-nucleotide long non-coding RNA is filed under the name Capsella rubella. RNAcentral's name for it is "long non-coding RNA (CRUB_LNC002233)". Lineage: Eukaryota; Viridiplantae; Streptophyta; Magnoliopsida; Brassicales; Brassicaceae. The record is from RNAcentral.
ACUCACUCACAACGACUUCUUCUCUUCACAGCGACUCAAGGCGAGUUUUUAGAGCGAAAGAGAGAGAGAGUGUAAAGGUUCGUCGGCGGCGAGUACUGUGUUCGUCGGCGGCGAGUUUCUUCUCUUUCGAACGAGAGAGAGACAUUUUUUUUUGUUUUUUUUUUCCAAUUCUAAAUAGUGACGAGAAAGAAAAUGUUCACUUUCCUUUUUGAUAAUUAAUAAGAGAAUAACUGUUGAUGAUGAUGUGGCAAUUUCGGGUACGACGUGGCAUUUUCGGAUCUGACGUGGUAAUUUUAAGUGAAAAC